UUUCCUUAUUCACCACUUCCCAAGAUAAUAGAUGUAAUGCAGUUAGAACUUCAAGAUUGAGUUUUUUCAGCAAUAGAUCAAGGCCGAAUGAAAAAUGAAAAAUCCUGAUGGAAAGUGUGAAUUAGGACUAAUUAUUCUGUAACAUGGAUCUUACUGUAGGAUGGGCCAAGAAAACUUACGACAUAAAUUACGUGGGCUGAAAUUAUGUUUUUUUUUGUGGUCCGUUCACGCUGCUCUUUUAAUUCGUGUUUGUGCUUUUACAUUACGCUGCACGAGGAGGCCUCGCCUGGAUGCUCGUAUUUGCUAUUUCUUCUCUCUUCUUCUUAAAUCUUCUCUGUAAACGGCCACUUCCUGUACCUCUCCAUUCGAAUCUAGGGUUUUGUUUUGCUUCUUCAUUGAUUUAAAUUAAUCUUCUCAAUUUCACCAAUCGUUACACUCUCGGAUCCGAUCCGUCCACUAUUCAUUCCCUCAAUUUUUACUUUCAUUUCAGAAAAAAAAAAUCUCACUAUUUUUUCUGUUUUCAGAAAGCUUCAGAUGGGGCGAGAAUUUUAAUUUCGCUGGAGUGUCUUUUUUUUUUUUUGAUAAACAAUUCUAAGUUCGUUCGGUAGUGAAUUGAUUUUGGAGAGUUUUUUAGGUGAGUGUUAGGAUUAAGGUUAGUCAUGUUCUAUGGUGCAGUGGUAUGGGAUCCAUGGUUAAUUGUUGCCCAAAUAGCCUGCCUUCAAUGUCUUUACUAUCUCACGCUUGGUUCUUUCUUAUCGAUUCUUGUUGGGACUCGCGUGUCUCGCAUGAGUCUUGUCUAUUUCUUUGAUUUCGUUGCUGUCACCACCUCUACCAUCACCGGUUGGCGUGUAAUCAUCUUCUUUCUCCUCAGCUCCAUUGCUGGAGCGGGAUAUAUGCUUCACUUGAUUGAGAGGUCAAAGAAGUGCUUAGAUUUUUCUGCAACUCUUUACAUCUUCCAUCUCUUUAUAUGCAUUAUAUAUGGAGGUUGGCCUUCCUCAAUAACAUGGUGGAUUGUGAAUGGUACUGGACUUGCAGUGAUGGCUUUACUAGGUGAAUAUCUGUGCAUUAGACGUGAACUCCGAGAGAUUCCAAUUACACGAUACCGAUCAAAUGUUUGAUUUACAAGGAAAACUCCAUAGGCAGGAGCAAACUUUGUUUGGGCCCAUACUUUUUGAUCAUCGAAUGGUUUGAAGGAGCUCCUGGAUGAAGCUUGUGAGAUAUGAAAUCCAAACUAUGAUAGGAUGAAUAGUUUUAGCCUACUGAUUCUAUUGACUAUGCUGAAGUUAAUGAUACAAGAUGGCGCAGAAGAUGGAGUAAAUGAUGGGGAGAUGGAGCAUGCGAGACUAGGUAUGCAUUGUGUCAGGAAACUAGUAGUGUACAAUUGUGGAUGGUUUCUGGGGAAGAUGCUUCUUGUUCUUCUGAUAUUAUUUUCUUGUUCAGUGCCUUAUUUUAAUAUGACAUAUAGACGAAUUUGCAUGAACUGCGAAAAUAUUGUUUCUCAUUGUCUUUGGAAUUCUUGUAGGGCUGUUAACUAACAUUGAUUUGUUCAAUCUUUAUAAUAGGUCUGUUUUUUA
Molecule: unclassified non-coding RNA, 1574 nt
Filed under: Hevea brasiliensis (rubber tree)
Lineage: Eukaryota; Viridiplantae; Streptophyta; Magnoliopsida; Malpighiales; Euphorbiaceae
Source: RNAcentral